AAGAAUCUAUUGUUCAUACUGGCAGCGUCUGUGAAGGCAAAAGUAUCUGUUCAGGGCUCACCUCUAAGGAAAACCUUCUCCACGGAAAGGCAAAAUUUAAACUGACAAGAGAAAAACCUCUAAAAGCUAAAGGUAGAUACUGUAUCAAACUAAACAAGCAUCAUGGGACGAGGUGAGAGUGAGGGGUGGGAGGAAGAGCCAAAGACAACUCAGCCCAAGAGCCAUGGGGACAACAAGGAAAAAAGUUCAGAGGGUGGAGGCUGUCCAAAGUGCUGCUUGAAGACCAGGGACUGUCUGAUGAGCCCAGAAUGUGGCAGAGCACUGCAGAUCUCCAGUGUUGUCGCCUUCUGCGGAAUGUGUAUCCGUGCAUGGACGUAAUUAUCAAGGCCUUUGGGACUUCUCUGAACUAUGAAGAAUCCUUCAAUCUUCUGAUUGAACUAUUUUAUUAUACUCUAAAAUGAAAAAUGUUUAACUGUACUCUUUGCUUAGUUUUUCUUAACUUCAGUAUUUUUAAAUAGAUAGGCCAGUGAUUAAAAAUGUCAUACUUUACCAAAGUAUUUUAUUCAUUAAAUAAGUGUAAUUGUAUGUAUGCAGUAAAUAAUGUCAUAAUGUAGAAAGCUGAAGUCAAGCUUGUUUGUAUUUGCCACGUAAUUCUUUUAGAGAAUUACAUGGCAAGAAUUUGAAUGUAUACAAUAACUAAGUAAACGUAAUUUAUUUUUAUGUUUAAGUAACGUUUUUGUAGUUUAUAUCCCUAAAGAUUUGAGAGAUAAAUAAAUAACAUUCAUAUUGAAAAGCUGUCCUCACAAUUUGAUCAGAACAAAAACAUCUGGCAUUCAUGAAGACCUUCAAGUUGAAGGCUUUGGUUCAGUUUGCCCAUUUUUAGAGACUAAAUUGUAUGAAACAAAAAACACUUUUCUUUCCAUUGGACCUUUAGCAGAUAAUAAAAACUAUAAAUCAUUAGUUGUAAAAUCUGAUGAAAUCUAAAAAUGAUUGAUAAAAAAUGUUCUGUGGCAGAUAGCUCAAUUUUUCACACAAAAAUGUCAGUUGUGAAAAAAAUAAA
Long non-coding RNA from Poeciliopsis prolifica (blackstripe livebearer), 1060 nucleotides. RefSeq lists it as uncharacterized. The transcript is spliced from 3 exons. Lineage: Eukaryota; Metazoa; Chordata; Actinopteri; Cyprinodontiformes; Poeciliidae. The record is from RefSeq and is a predicted model, not a curated record.